This 253-nucleotide ribosomal RNA is filed under the name uncultured bacterium. Its description in RNAcentral is "partial 16S ribosomal RNA". It matches the Rfam family "Bacterial small subunit ribosomal RNA", at positions 524 to 776 of the family's 1533-position model. The record is from RNAcentral.
UACGUAGGUGGCGAGCGUUGUCCGGAUUUACUGGGCGUAAAGAGCGCGCAGGCGGUCGUACAAGUCGCGUGUGAAAGCCCCCGGCUCAACUGGGGAGGGUCACGCGAUACUGUUCGACUCGAAGGCAGGAGAGGGAAGCGGAAUUCCCGGUGUAGUGGUGAAAUGCGUAGAUAUCGGAAGGAACACCAGUGGCGAAAGCGGCUUCCUGGUCCAGCACCGACGUUCAGGCACGAAAGCGUGGGGAGCAAACAGG